Molecule: ribosomal RNA, 1884 nt
Filed under: Triticum aestivum (bread wheat)
Lineage: Eukaryota; Viridiplantae; Streptophyta; Magnoliopsida; Poales; Poaceae
Description: partial small subunit ribosomal RNA
Source: RNAcentral
AUGGAAAUCCCCCCCAGCUCCGCCCCGGCCGGCGCCGGCGGCGCGGCCGCCCCCGCAACCCCCGGCUCCUCCUCGAACCCAUCCCCGCCGGCCAAGCGCCCCAGCAUCACGCUCCGCCUCCUCUGCCCGGCCACCCGCGCCGCCGCCCUCUGCCCCGCGAGCGACCUCCACGUGGAGCACCCCCCCGUGGGGGACGAGGCCGUGCUCGUCGUAUCCGGGCCUGAUGCGCCGGCCGCGGCCGUGAGGGUGUGGGAGCGGGUGGUGGGCCACAGGGUCGGAGGCGACGAGGCGGGGGAGGAGGGGGAGGAGAAGGAGGUGGCCGGCGUCGUGGGCUGCCGGAUGCUGGCGGCCGGGGGGCAGGUGGGCUGCGUGCUGGGGAAGGGCGGGAAGACGGUGGAGCGGAUGCGGCUGGAGAGCGGCGCCCAGAUCAGGGUCUUCCGGAGCAGGGAGCAGGUGCCCCCCUGCGCCUUGCAGGGGGACGAGCUCAUCCAUAUAAGUGGGAGCUUUUCUGCAGCAAAGAAAGCACUUUUAUUGGUUUCAACCUGCCUCCAAGAUAAUCCUAGGCCAGACACAAGCAAUUUUCCAUCUGGAAGACCAUUCGGGCCUCCAGGCAGUGGAGUUGGUUGUCCACCUGGUGUGGAUCCUCAUUCUCAAAGAAGCUAUUUACCACCACCACAUGUUCCUGACUAUCAUGCAAGGAAUUUUUCAAGCAACGGUGCUGCCCCUGGUCCUAGAUUCUUUGUUGAACAAGAGAUAAUGUUCAGAAUGAUAUGUUUAAAUGACAUGGUGGGCGGCGUAAUUGGAAAAGGCGGUUCCACUAUCCGUGCAUUACAGAGUGAAACUGGUGCUUCAGUCAAGGUUAUAGACCCUGUUGCUGAUUCGGAUGAACGUAUAAUUGUGAUCUCUGCGCGUGAGAAUUCUGAGAUGAUGCAUUCUCCAUCUCAGGACGCAUUGAUUCGGGUAUAUUCUAAAAUCUCGGAGGCGUCUAUGGAUAAAAGUUCUUCUGUACCUGCCAGGCUUCUUGUUCCAGCGCAGCAUAUUGGUUGCCUACUUGGCAAAGGUGGAUCCAUAAUUGCAGAGAUGAGGAAGGUAACAGGAGCCAGCAUCCGAAUUUUUGGGAAUGAACAAAUUCCAAGAUGUGCACAACGAAAUGAAGAGCUGGUUCAGGUCACCGGUAGCUUUCAGUCCAUCCAAGAUGCAUUGCGUCAUAUCGCUGGGAGGAUUAGAGAUCUCAUCAUUCCCCCGAAGCCACAUCCUAGUGGAGGCAUGCCUCCGUAUCCACCUGUUGGGAACCCUUCUCAUCAUCAAUCAAGACAAGAAGCUCCACCACAUCACAGUGGAGGCAUGCCUCCCUAUCCUAUGCAUCCUUUCAGACCUAAUCCUCCUAUGGGUCCUUUUGAUGUGGCAGAUCAUCGACCACCUGGCCCACCUCCUUCACAUCCAAUGGAACACAUGAGUGCUGAUAGGAUGCCCUACCCGUAUGGUUGUGAACAAGGAGGUCCUCGUCCUUUUGUUGAGCAGCCAUCACCAAGAACCUGGGCUCCUGAGGCACCAGCAACUGACGCUCCAAGAAGCAUGCCUGAUAUAGUACCAGCUGUAGAUUUCAGAAAGGGACCAGGGGCAAGCAGUGAAAACCAAGUGGCUACACCAGCAACUACAACAACUGAAGUUGUCAUUCCUUGCAAGUACAUAGGUUUUGUUUGUGGAGCCAAUGACAGUGACCUCGCUGAGAUAAAGAAGAUAUCCGGCGCUGAAAUUACAGUACAUGAUCCAAAGCCCGGAGAUACAAAUUCAACAGUUAUUAUAUGUGGAGACCCCGAACAAACGAAGAGGGCGCAGAGCCUGAUUCAUGCUUUCAUUUUUUGUGGUCUCUACCAAAAAUGA